RNAcentral lists this long non-coding RNA (897 nucleotides) under Homo sapiens (human). Its description in RNAcentral is "HSALNT0340990". The record is from RNAcentral. Lineage: Eukaryota; Metazoa; Chordata; Mammalia; Primates; Hominidae.
CUGGGUCCAGCUUCCAGGUAAUGUAACAGUCCUGCCUUGGCCCUGCCCACAAGGGGCAUUGUGACAUAUUGCUGAGCCCAGUACCUAGGUGAUAUGACUCUCCUGAAUUGCCCCUGCACUCAGGGGAGACUUUUGACCCUGCCCAAAGUGGCAAUUGUGACAUAUCUUUGGCCAGCACCCAGGAGAUCCAAACUUUGUUCCUGGUCUCUCUCCACAGUUGGAAUUGGGAACUACACAUGGGCACAGCUUACAGGUGGAAUGAUGACUCACACCUGAAGAUAUUUUGACCUUUGUAGUCUUAGGGCAAAAACUAAGGUCCUGUGUCUUCAACUUGUAGGAUGGUCACGGAAUAUUACAACUUGCAUGCACGUUGAAUGAAGCCCUCAAAUGCUACAAAGAGUGCCAAAAUAGAGCCCAGCUAAAACUGUGGUAAAACUGUGGCUGUUGUAUGCAAACUCAAAUAAAACUGGAUCCAGGUAUGAGAGUCAUCAUCUCACCUGUGAGCUGUGACCAUGUAUAUGUCGCAAUUUCACCUGUCAUCAGGAAGCAGACAUGAGAGUCCUAUCACCUGGGUGCUGGACGAAGUUUCGCUCUUGUUUCCCAGGCCGGAGCACAAUGGUGUGAUCUCGACUCACUGCAACCUCCGCCUCCCGGAUUCAAGCGAUUCUCCUGCCUCAGCCUGCCGAGUAGCUGGGAUUACAGAUGAAAAAAGAUGCAAAGAAGACAUAUUUGCUUUUUAUCCACACAUCAUUUCCAAUCACUAUGCUGAGCAAAGUCAAUGUGAGCAGAGCUGAGAAUAGCAGUUUUCUGGCAGGACGGCCACUUCUGAGCAAAAAAUGACACAAUAAAAGUAUAAAUAUUUAAUAGUAAGCUAAUAUAUUUUCAGCAAAUUAAGCA